RNAcentral lists this ribosomal RNA (293 nucleotides) under uncultured bacterium. RNAcentral describes it as "partial 16S ribosomal RNA". It matches the Rfam family "Bacterial small subunit ribosomal RNA", at positions 775 to 1067 of the family's 1533-position model. The record is from RNAcentral.
GGAUUAGAUACCCUGGUAGUCCACGCCGUAAACAAUGGACACUUGGUGUUGGAGGUAUUGACCCCUUCAGUGCCGGAGCUAACGCGUUAAGUGUCCCGCCUGGGGAGUACGGUCGCAAGAUUAAAACUCAAAGAAAUUGACGGGGGCCCGCACAAGCGGUGGAGCAUGUGGUUUAAUUCGAUGCAACGCGAAAUACCUUACCUGGGUUUGAAUUGCAGUGGACCACGCCAGAGAUGGCGUUUCUCUUCGGAGUCGCUGUGAAGGUGCUGCAUGGCUGUCGUCAGCUCGUGUUG